UACUUUCAAAAUACUAAGAUCAUCAAUACCCAAAAAUGAGAGUUUGAUAGUGUGAUUUGAAUCUCCAAUGAUCUUCGAUCCGAGCUAGCUUGGCGACACUAUAAAAACAUGGAAAAUAAAUGGAGUAAGCUAUAUAGCUUAGUAAGCUCAUAUGCAAGAAAUAAGCAACCUUACCAUGCAUAUAACAUUUAAAUAUUAUAACAUAAUUAAAUGUAAAUUUUCCAUAGUCUCAUGAUCAUAACUCAUUCCGCCACAAAACUUACCUCAUAUUCAUCGUUUCAAGCAUUUAAUAAACAUCAGCUUUAUGUAAAUGCCUAAACCAUCUCGAAAUGAAUUUACACAUAUUCUCAUCUUUGACAUACUCGUGAACCACUCGGAAUAAUAAUGUCGGAUACUUGGGAAUCUUGCACACUAAGUGCCACAUAUGUAGCCAAUGCUACCUCAAUCUCAUAUCGCAUAAUUGCUCGUUCUCGAGCUACUCAACGGGCCUGCUCACACAAACUGUCAGUCAAGACGUAGCUACUCGGUGCUGCUCACACAAGCUGUCAAGUAACCGCAACAUAUGCCAAUAUACUCAGCAUCGGUAGGACGUACAAGGCCAGCACCCGAAUCACAUAAUCGCAUAACAUAUAGUAAUCCUAGUGACAUGUCACUUGUAUCCUAAUCUAUUCCUAAGGUUCAGCGGGACUUCUCACUUGUCGAAUCGUCGUCGAACUCAUUAGUAGAAUUAUACUCAUCCACAUAAUCAAACAUAUAAUUCAUGCAAUAUUAAAGCAUUUAAGUACAAUUAUUCUAAACCUUAUUUUAACCAUACAAACUUAUUUUGGUACAAAAUGGCUAAUAGUUCGAUUUAGUCCACAACCUUGUUCUUUCCCCUAUCUAGGUCAGAACCUCGUCUUUCUUGAUCUAUAAUACCAUAUUUAACUCAUUCAAUCAUCAUAUUAUUAAAUUUAAUCCCAAAAACACCUUAUGGAAAAAUUAUAUUUUUGCCCUUAACUUUUCUACUUUUUACAUUUUAGUCCCUAGGCUUGUAAAAUGAUUUUCAUUCAAUUUCAUCACACCCAAGCCUAGGUGAACCCAUUCCUUGCUCAUAACAACCCACAUUUUUCAUUUAUUCACAUUUUUACACAUAUUUUACAUCUUUUACAAAUAGGUCCCUAUUUGACAUUUUCAUCAAAAAUCACUUGGUAGAUGUUGUUUAUCUAACACUAAACAUGCAUUUUCUACCAUUAAAUAUCAAAAUACAAAAAUAUUCAACAUGGGAAACAUUUUAGACUUCAUCUUUCUUUCAUUUAGUCCCUUAAAUAGCUAGAUUAGGUUGAAACAACUUCAAAAACAUAAAAAUCAUGAAAAACGGGGCAAGAACGGACUUACAAUCGCGCUUGGAAGUGGUCAAAACCCUAGCUAUGAACUUCUUGAAAUUUUCUACUAUGGGGGGACUAAUUUGAGAAGGUGAACACUUUUAUUUUUGUUAUUUUGUCUUUAUUUACCAAAUGAUUAUAAUGCCCUUCACUUAAAACUUUGAAAGUUUAUCUAACCAUAUCCAUUUUUGUCCAUACUAAAAUAUAAUGGUCUAAUUACUAUUUAAGGACCUCCAAUUUAAAAUUUCAUAGCAAUUAGACACCUCUAGCUUCUGGAACACAUAUUUUGCAACUAUUACAAUUUAGUCCUAUUAGUCAAAUUGGACACUAUCAAUAAAAUUUGUUAACAAAAUUUUCACACAAUCAUUCAAUCAUACUGUAGACCUUAAAGUAAUAAUAAAAUUAACAUUUCUACUUCAAAUUUGUAGUCCCAAAACCACUGUUUCGAUUUGACCCAAAAAAGGGCUGUUACAACUUUCGUCUCCAAAAAUCUUAUCGGAAAAGAGGUUUGGGUACUAUUUUCUCAUAGCUUCCUCAGUUUCCCACAUAGCUUCUUAGACCCCAUGUCUUUGCCACAAAACUUUCACUAGGGCUAUAUUUUAAUUUCUCAACUGUUUAACUUCUUGAGCUAAAAUCUUGAUCGGUUCUUCACCAUAUGUUAUAUCGAGUCGAAUCUCAACCUCUGUCAGUGAAAUUAUAUGUAAAGGAUCUGAUCGAUAUCGUCGCAACAUAGACACAUGAAACACAUUGUGGAUUCUCUCUAAUUUUGACGGUAAUGCUAGUUGGUAAGCCACUAGUCAUAUCCUUUCAGUAACCUCAUAUGAACCAAUAAAGCACAGACUCGCUUGCCUUUGCGACCAAAUCUAAGAAUUUUCUUCCACAGAGGCACUUUCAAAAAUACCUUAUCACCAACUUGAAAUUCAAUUUCCUUUCAUUUUAGAUCCGCGUACGAUUUCUGUAUAUCCCAAGCUGAUUUCAAACAAUCACGAAUUACUUUAACUUUUUUUCAGUUUAUCUAACCAAAUCAACCCCGUGAAUCUUUCUCUCACUGAGCUCAAUCCAGUACAAUGGAGUCUGGCACUUGCGACCGUACAAUGCCUCAUACGAUGCCAUCUUUAUACUUGACUUGAAAUUAUUAUUAUAAGCAAAUUUGACUAAAGGUAGAUUUUUUCCCAACUACCUUCGAACUCUCAUACACAACAACAAAGUAUAUUUUCGAGUACCUAAAUCGUCCUUUCAGAUUGACCAUCAGUCUGCGGAUGAAAUGCGGUACUAAAAUUUAACUUUGUGCCCAAAGCCUCUUGCAACUUCUUCAAAAAUCGUGAAGUAAAUCUCGAAUCUCUAUCCAAAAUAAUAGAAAUAAGCACCCCGUACAAUCUAAAAAUCUUAGCUAUGUACAACUCAGCUAGCUUGUCAAAUGAAUAGUCGGUCCGUACCGGGAUAAAAUGAGCUGAUUUCUUCAAUCUAUCAACAACGACCCAAACAACAUAUUUCUUCUUCGGAGUCAGAGGUAAUCCAGUUACGAAAUCCAUCGUAAUUCUAUCCCACUUCCAUUUGGGAAUCAUCACAGGCUGAAGUAAACCCGAAGGUACUUGAUGUUCGCCCUUUACUUGUUGACAAAUCAAACAUCUCGUUACGAAUUCAGAAAUAUCUCAUUUCAUACCUGACCACAAAUACAAUUUCUUCAAGUCAUUAUACAUCUUCAUACUUCCUAGGUGAACAGACAGAUAAUUACUAUGUGCCUCAUGAAGAAUUUUCUAAAUAAGCUCGGUAUCUCUUGGUACACAAAUCCUACCUCGAAAUAUCAAGCAACCAUCAACCCCAAUUUCAAAAUCUGAAUCACUAUACGAUUCACACUGAACUCUUUUAGCUUAAAGUUCUUUGUCACAUUUUUAAGCUUCGUAAAUUUGCUAAAUAAAUACCGGCUUAGCUUUCAACUCAGCUAUAAUCGAGCCAUCAUAAGAUAAAGUCAGUCGCGUAUUCAUUGCUCUCAAAGCAAACAAAGAUUUCCUACUUAAAACGUCGGCGACUACAUUUACCUUUCCCGGAUGAUAAUCGAUUACCAACUCAUAAUCUUUUAAUAGCUUGAGCCAUCUUCAUUUUCGUAGAUUCAAGUCCUUUUAAGUCAUCAAGUACUUUAAGCUCUUGUGAUCGAUAAAGAUAUGGCACUUCUCACCGAAUAAAUGAUGUCGCCAAAUAUUUAAAGCAAACACAAUGGCAGCCAAUUCCAAGUCGUGUGUCGGGUAGUUCUUCUCAUGCGGUUUCAACUGUCUCGAGGCAUAAGCUAUCACUUUACCCUCUUGCGUUAACACACAACCAAGACUGUUCAGUGACGCAUCGCUGAAAAUCACGAACUCAUUUCCCGACUCGGGUUGCACUAAUACCGAUGCCUUAAUUAACAAUGCUUUCAACUGUUCGAAACUUUUUUGGCAUUUCUCUGACCACUCGAACUUAAAAUUUUUUGUGACAAUUUUGUCAUAGGUGUAGCAAUCAUUAAGAGUUCCUUAAUAAAAAGUCGAUAAUACCCGGCUAAGCCCAAAAAGCUUCUAACCUCGGAUACAUUCCUUGGUGGUUUCCAAUCAACAAUUGCUGAAAUCUUAUGUGGAUCAACUCUUAUACCUUCCCCUGAGACAAUAUGCCCCAAAAACCCUACUUCUCGGAGCCAAAACUCACUUUUGCUGAAUUUAGCAAACAAUUUUUUAUCUCUCAAAGUCUACAAUACAAUUCUUAAAUGUUCGGCAUGCUUAGACUCAUCUCGGGAAUAAAUCAAAAUGUCAUCAAUGAACACAACUACAAACUUUUCUAAAUACGGUUAGAAGAUCCAGUUCAUCAAAUCCAUAAAAACAGCAGGAGCAUUAGUUAAUCCAAAAGGCAUAACAAGAAAUUCAUAGUGCCCAUACCUCAUUUUGAAUGCGGUUUUCGGCAUAUCCGAGUCUUUAACUCUCAGCUGAUAAUAACAAGAUCUCAAAUCUAUUUUUGAGAAUACUGUUGCCCCUUUCACCUAGUCAAACAAAUCAUCAAUCCUUGUUAAAGGAUACUUGUUAUUUAUCGUAACCUUGUUGAGUUGACAAUAAUUGAUACAAAGUCUCAUGGAUCCAUCUUUCCUCUUAACGAAUAAUACCAGUGCACCCCAGGGCAAAAAAAUGGGUCUCGCAAAACCCUUUUCUAUUGAGACUUUAAUUCUUUCAAUUCGAUCAAAGCCAUCCUAUACGGAGCUAUCAAUAUUGGUGCAGUCCCCGGUACCAAAUCAAUAGCAAACUCCACCUCUCUGACCGGUGGUAACCCUAGCAACUCUUUUGGAAACACAUUUGGAUAUUCAUGAACUACCGGCAUAGAUUUUAUCUUCAAUUCAGACACCUUAGUAUCUAGUACAUACGCGAGAAAUGCUUCACAACCGUUUCUUACAUACGUCUGAGUCGACAUCGAAGAAAUCACAACAGGCAAUUCACCUGACUCAACUCGAAGAGUUUCAUUGUUUUGACAUUUCAAUUCAAUAACCUUUUGUUUACAAUUCACUACGACAUCAUGCAGAGUCAAUCAAUCCACUCCAAGUAUCACAUCAAACUCAUCAAAUGGCAAAAGCAUUAAGUCAGCCAGAAAACAGUGACCCCGAAUCAUUAGAGGACAACUCUUGCAAACUUUAUCAACUAAAACAUGUUUGCCUAAGGGAUUCGACACCUUAAUCACAAACUCAGUAAAUUCAACAGGCGAAUUCUUACUAGAUAUCAGAUUCAUGCAAAUAUAGGAAUGAGUCGAUCCAGGAUCAAUUAAUGCAACUACAUUAGUAUGAUAAAGAGAAAAUGUACCAGUGAUCACGUUAGGGGAGGACGCAUCCUCGCGAGCACGGAUGGCAUAAGCUCUAGCAGGUGAUCUAGUUUCCGAUCUCACAUCUGAAUCUUUGGAUACU
This 5268-nucleotide long non-coding RNA is filed under the name Gossypium barbadense (sea-island cotton). Its description in RNAcentral is "long non-coding RNA (GBAR_LNC002257)". Lineage: Eukaryota; Viridiplantae; Streptophyta; Magnoliopsida; Malvales; Malvaceae. The record is from RNAcentral.